UUCGCGCACCCUGCCGCCGCCUCGCCCUUCCCCAGCUCUGUCCGCGUCGCCGCCGGCCGCCUCCGGGGCCUUGACCCUACCCGGCGCCUCCCUCCCCGGCCCCGAUGCGCGGCGGUGCCUCCCCGGCACCAACUCGGUGCGGCACCUCCCCGGCCCCGACGCGGCGCGACCGCCUCCCCGGGCGGAUCUGCGCGCUCCGCGGCACCGGCGCCUCCCCUCCCCCUCUCUUCUUCUGGGCGGCGCGCACCUCCUCCUCCUCCUCCUCUGCUGGCUUUUCUCUCUACACAUGGAGGCUAGGGUCUGUGAUGCGCUAGUGCCGGCAAGGAGGACCCUCCGGCCCUUCGUCCUCUCCGCCGAGCUCCCCUCACGAAUCGCUGAGAUAUUAGUGAGCUCAACCUACCAAAGACCACAUUGAUUUCUUUUCCCAAUGACAAGGAUGAUCUGAUAAAUUUUGAUAUUACAUGGAGGCACUUUUGUUUUCACCUUUCAAGUGUCUCCAUCUUAUCCUCAUGAUCCCCCGAAGGUCAAAUGCAAGACCAAGGCAGGUUUAUUGCAUGCUUAUAUACCCUAUUCUACUUGGAGUGAGAUGGGUGUAGCAUUCCGUAACAUGCCUUCAGGUGUACCAUCCAAAUAUUGAUUUGGAAGGUAAUGUAUGACCACAUUCUGCUUGAAGACUCGAAGCCUGUUCUCAACAUCAACACUGUUAUAUAUGGCCUGAAUCUUCUUUUUACGGUAUUUCAGCUAUCUUGAUUCCCCAAUUGUACAGCCAUCAUCGAUAUCUCCACAAACUAGAUAAGAUGUACACAAAAUAGUGGAUGGUUAUGGUGGUAUGCCAAAAUAGUAGGGGAUUUGGCAUGAGAAAUUAAUUGAGUUAACCAGUGUAUGUAUGGACUUGUAUGUUGUAUCAUGAGGACUUUGGUUUACGCAUGUGGAUAUGUAUAUGGAUAUGAAUUCUGUUUAA
Panicum virgatum (switchgrass) is the source of this 961-nucleotide long non-coding RNA. RefSeq lists it as uncharacterized. The transcript has 5 exons. The record is from RefSeq and is a predicted model, not a curated record. NCBI's taxonomy places the organism in Eukaryota, Viridiplantae, Streptophyta, Magnoliopsida, Poales, Poaceae.